AUGAUCACUUGUGUCACACCUAAGCCAUGGAGGUGGCCCAGCCUUGAUCCCUUCAGGUCUCUGAGGUCACCCAGGGAGCAUUACAAAGGAAUAAAAAGCCCUUAUGUGCGAAGACAGUCAGAGAUUCUGAAACACUGGGAGUUUGCUAAACCCAGAGCAGAGAACGUGAACUGGGAUCAGAAGACUGUACUUCACACAAGUGAACAAACAAACCAACCUUCCAAAGAGUUCAUUAACUCAAGGAACAGCUAAGAAAGCCACGGAAUAAGAAGAGGAAGUAAUCCUGGACAAGAUACAAGGGUGUGAAGAGAACUUCAAAGAACCCUGUGAGCACCAUGCACUGUCACAAGGCAGGUAAUUUGGACAAAGGACAGCUGGCUUUGCCUUGAACGGUAGAAAAUGGGCUCAGCAUUUGAGCAAACACAUCUUCUAUAUCACAAAGCCCUCAGAAGGAAAAUUCUUUACAAAACUAUAGAAAUACACCUUUUCUUGGCUUGAAGGAGUCCAGAGCCUUUCUGUGAAUUUCAGAGGUGCCUUCACCAGGGCUGCUGUUUUCACACAACUGUUCCAUUACCUAAGCUAAAUGACAUUUAAAAUGCCUUGGCCACGGAGUCGGCAGCACGUACAAGGAUGUUCAAGCAUGUUUUUGGUUUAUUAGUUCUGUUACAGACACUCAAGCAGAUGAAUGUAAGAAGAGAAACUGGCUUUAUAGUAAAGAGAAAGAGACCUACAGCAGUGACAAAUUAAUUUCCAUCCUGUCAUGACUCAUGAGACAGUGCUACAGUAACAUUAACAAAACGUCAGUUAAAGCGGUAGUAAUUAUUUCCAUUGCUAAUACUGACUCUGGCUUAACAACAUUUACAGGCUUUGUUACACUGUCAUAAAAUAAACACCAAUAUAGAAACA
This 906-nucleotide long non-coding RNA is filed under the name Numida meleagris (helmeted guineafowl). RNAcentral's name for it is "lncRNA (ENSNMEG00000009565.1)". Lineage: Eukaryota; Metazoa; Chordata; Aves; Galliformes; Numididae. The record is from RNAcentral.